RNAcentral lists this ribosomal RNA (626 nucleotides) under uncultured bacterium. RNAcentral describes it as "bacterial SSU rRNA". It matches the Rfam family "Bacterial small subunit ribosomal RNA", at positions 163 to 807 of the family's 1533-position model. The record is from RNAcentral.
CUAAUACCGCAUAAGACCACAGCACCGCAUGGUGCAGGGGUAAAAACUCCGGUGGUACAGGAUGGACCCGCGUCUGAUUAGCUGGUUGGUGAGGUAACGGCUCACCAAGGCGACGAUCAGUAGCCGGCUUGAGAGAGUGAACGGCCACAUUGGGACUGAGACACGGCCCAAACCCCUACGGGAGGCAGCAGUGGGGAAUAUUGCACAAUGGGGGAAACCCUGAUGCAGCGACGCCGCGUGAGUGAAGAAGUAUCUCGGUAUGUAAAGCUCUAUCAGCAGGGAAGAAAAUGACGGUACCUGACUAAGAAGCCCCGGCUAACUACGUGCCAGCAGCCGCGGUAAUACGUAGGGGGCAAGCGUUAUCCGGAAUUACUGGGUGUAAAGGGUGCGUAGGUGGUAUGGCAAGUCAGAAGUGAAAACCCAGGGCUUAACUCUGGGACUGCUUUUGAAACUGUCAGACUGGAGUGCAGGAGAGGUAAGCGGAAUUCCUAGUGUAGCGGUGAAAUGCGUAGAUAUUAGGAGGAACAUCAGUGGCGAAGGCGGCUUACUGGACUGAAACUGACACUGAGGCACGAAAGCGUGGGGAGCAAACAGGAUUAGAUACCCUGGUAGUCCACGCCGUAAAC